GUCCACGCUGUAAACGAUGACGACUAGGUGUGGGGGGGUUCAGUCCCUUCCGUGCCGCAGCUAACGCAUUAAGUCGUCCGCCUGGGGAGUACGGCCGCAAGGUUGAAACUCAAAGGAAUUGACGGGGGCCCGCACAAGCGGUGGAGCAUGUGGUUCAAUUCGAUGCAGAGCGAAGAACCUUACCUGGGCUUGACAUGCAGGAAGUAGGAACCGGAAACGGGGACGACCUGUUAAGUCAGGAACCUGCACAGGUGGUGCAUGGCUGUCGU
Molecule: ribosomal RNA, 269 nt
Filed under: uncultured bacterium
Lineage: Bacteria
Description: partial 16S ribosomal RNA
Rfam family: Bacterial small subunit ribosomal RNA
Source: RNAcentral